UUUUUUUUUUUUUUUGCUGUGAGCAAGAUGUGUAAAUCAUUGAGGCAAUAUUGGAAGAAAAACACCUUACGAAAAUUUGAUUACUGAUUGAAUGCGGUGUCAUGAAUGUGAUGUAAACAUAUGAGGACAUAGGUUGAGGCACAACUGGGAUUGAUUUGUUAUAAGAUAUUAUUUUGUGCAGGAACAAUUAUUAGUGAAAUUUAGGAUCAAACUGUGAGAUAGUGAUUAUGAGAAACAGAAAAAUAAAAUAAUCAAAGCUGCACAUGUCCAGUGUUGUCCAGUCAUUGGGUAUCUUAUUGUGGCAUUUUAAUAGAGUUGUUUGUGUGGUAUUAUGUGCAAAAUGAAUCACAUCCGAGUUGUUAUGCUGGUGUAGGAACAUACAUUGCAUAAACAUUGCCUAGGGAACAUUAGAUUUAGAUCGAAACCAUGUUAUAAUAUUUUCAUGGUCAUAAUGUGGGAUGAUUAAGGGCUUUAUUCAGGGUUUCAGUCUAAUAUUGUCUUCCUAAAUGUAUGUGAAUGUAUAAAGGCCUUUUAGUUUAAAUUUUUAAUACCCUUGGCAUGUCUUACGUACUGUUUUGUUUCAAACACUCAUAGGUUUCAGGGGUAUAAAUUUUCAGUUCAAAAAGAUUGACGUAAGAUCUGUAUUGCUGUGGCUUUUGAACUUGCUGUGAAUGUUACUUUUUGUUUCCCUUCCUGGAUAGAUUUGUUCAGUUUAUUUUAUUUGCUAAUAUACUUCCAUAAAAUUUUUGUACAUCAUAUCCACUCAUGCUUUGUCUGUCAUUUUUGUACGAAACAUUUACGCAGUUAAGAUCUUCUGAUGCUAUUCUUCAUUUUGAAAAAUGUAAAAAAUUCUUCAUCGUACUGAGAUACAUGAUAGAGGUUAUGUUUUUUUGCCAGAGUUUAUUUUACCUUGAUUGCGAUCCCUUUUCCUCAUAAAAAAGGUAUUGCGUUGUUGUAUUCGUGAAUAAUCAAGUUAUUUUAUUAUGCUUCAUUAUUGGUGCGAUUAUAUGUUAUUUAUAUUGAGUUCAUGUUCAGUUUUGCUCAUAUUAGUAAUCAUUAACAGAUUAUAUUCUUGAAUCCUGAUUAAAAGUGACGUUGAGGAGUUUAUUAAGUCCUUUUUUUUUGCUCUAUUGUAAGGGGUGUUAGAAAGUCUUUAACGGUUCCAUUUCAUGGUACCUUUGGAAGAACAACUUUGUCAAAGUUUGUAUAUUUCAGAUCUCGACUUCGCUUUUCUGGAGAUGAAUCCUUUUGCAUUGGUUGAUGGAAAGCCAUAUCCUUUGGAUAUGAGAGGCGAGCUCCAUUACCCUGCUGCUUUCAAGAACUUAAAAAGUACAUUCAAUUUCUUGUGUUAUUACCCUCUCUGCUCAGUUAUUUGACGAAAGCUAUAUGAUACUAUCUAAUGUUUCUUCUGUUUAAGUGUACCAUUUGGCAACACCACCUUACAUGAUAUAAUUGUUUCAGGUGGGCUAAUAUUGAAUUUUCAAUGCCGUUUGGAAGAGUUAUGAGUCCUACAUAAAAAAUUAUUCAUGGGCUAGAUGAUAGGUACAAACAAUGUUUUACCUCAUCAGUGAUAGUUUUCAUGCGGGAUUUUAGUUGUAUGCAAUUUUAAUUUCUUUUAUUGUUCAUAAGGAAAUACCUCGCAUUUAUUAGAUGAUAACCAUUUAGUAUCCCACUUUAAUCAGGUUGAUUUGUCAAUUGCUUGCAGACAUGGGCAUCUUUGAAAUUUACAGUCGUGUACCCUAAGGGAAGAAUCUGGACUAUAGUUGCUGGAGUGCAAGAGUUAUAUACGGUGUGUUCAAUUAAGAUUCAGAAAUUUAACUGGAUUUGAACCUGUUACUUAUGAACCUUUGGUUUUCCUUGGCAUUCAUUGCUCACACUCAAAGUAUAUUCCUUUAUCAGGUUGGAGAUCUUGGCUCUGCUAAUGAGCUUGAAAACUGCACUGAAUAUAGUGGAGCACUAAAUGAGAAGGAGGUCUUGCAGUAGGCCAGAGUUGUGAUUGAUGUAAGAACUCUUUCACUCUUAGCAUUAUAUCACUUUAUCCACAGUAGAUGAAAUGCUACUUUCAUAUUUGCCACAUCUCUGUUUUCCAUCAAAAACUUUUCACAAGCUUCAUGGCUUCUCUUUAAUACAUUUGGAAUGAAUUUGUUCAUAGUUUUCUGCCCUGAAGCUUAUUGAACAUGAAGAUAGAUUGUGGGUCUGUGGUGGUUUUUGUUAUUUGGGUUGCUGCCUUUUGCAUUUCUGGUAAGGGUUACUAUUUUUUCCAUUAAAUUGAUGAUUUUAUAUCAAUAUCUGUUCUGUAAUUUUUUUUUUCUGCAUCUUUUGUGUUGUUGCUGACUAAUCUACUCUUUCUUAGUGUGACUUAUUAAUGGAUGACUAUUUUGUCUACACAUCUUCAGGUUGAUGUUCUUGGAGAAGGUCUUUUAAGCAGGUAUCCUCAAGUUCAAAGGACUUUCAUGCAUGAUGUUUUAUCCUCUCAGUCAUUUUCCUUUAUUGAUUGUAAUCUAGGUAAUCAAAGAAACUGGGUUUUUGUUUUCGGAUCCUGUUGAUUUACUGUUAAGUAUGUUUUAGAAUGCUUCUACUUGCUUUCAAAUCUUUGAAGAGUAAUGGGUUUCAGCUGGAAAUGGAGGAGAGAAGAAGUACAGACGUUGUCAUUGUUGUUUCCGGGGUUUCCGGUGCAGCUGUUGCCUACACUCUUGCAAAGGUCAGAUAAUGAUUUCAAUAUUUUUUUAAUUUGAUUGGGAAUAUAUGUUUACUGAGAAUGCUGAAUUGAGCAUGUGAUAUAAUUUUAUUGUUUGAUCAUUGGAGAAUAUAGUUAGUGUUGUUGUUAGAUCAUUGAAUGAAAGUUACCUUCUUUUUUAUUGUUGAGUUCCAUACUUUACCAUCAAUAAACAUAACUUAGAAUUUUUCAUCUUUUGUUAAGACUGGAAUCCGAUUGUAAAUAAUACUUAUGAAGGCCUAGGGAAGAGAAUUUACAUAUGCGUUGCCUAAAGUGGCACGUUGAGGUUUCAGGUUUGCUAUUAUGCCUAAAGUAUGAGAUUAAUUUUUAAUGUGGAUUUGACUGAACCAUAUUACUGCUUUGUAGGAAGGACGCCGUGUACAUUAGAGUUAUCUCAAAUGAGACUUGACUGACUGAGCUCGACUGAUCAUUGAAGGACGCCGUGUACAUUACGCCGUGUACAUGUCAUCAAAAGAGACUUGACAGAGCUGGAUAGUAUUGGUGAGCUUCUGCACCUGGGGGUUAUCUCAAAUUAAUUGAGUUUUGUCUUGAGGGUGAGCAAUUUCCUACCCAAUUUAGAAUUCCAUUGUUGUUCUUGCAGUAGUUUGAUAUAGUUUGUAUUUUUAUUAAAUAUCGAGUCAUAAGAUAUUGAAUUAUAAUUAACAAAAUCUAUUUGUGGCUGCAGACUGUUCAAAUAUUUGUGGUUGCAGACAGCAACUAUUUGUGGCUACAGGCUGUGCAAAUCAGUCCAUUGAUGCUCAGAAGGUGUUUGGGAGGGGUUUCCAAACGGUGGUUUCAUUCAGAGUAAAAGCUGUAAAUUUCAAAGUAAUUCUCUUUUCUCUUUACGUAUUGUAUGUGAUUACUUGGUGUAAUCUGUUUCAAGCUACUCCAUGAUGUGCCAUGGAAUUCCAUUACAGUGUGAAAUUGGAACAAGGAUCAGUAACAGCAGUAAUCGGCAAAUAGGCACUGUCAGGGGUGAUUUAUGAGAACAAUAACCCUAAGCUUAUGGCUGCAUUCAUUUUGCUGUAUAGAAAACAAUAACCAAUUAACCAUAGUUGACAUUGAUUUUAAGAUAUUAUAUCCCUUUUUGUAAUGUGAUGAAUGUGAGGUUUUUGUAGCAGAACAAUGAACACAGAACAAUCAAAAGGUUUUUUUGUACAAUUGAGCAUUUGAACAUCUGCUUGAUCCCUUGCAAAAUAGCAUCACAAAAAUAGACUUACAUAGUGUUCACGCUUUGGUAACAAGUGAAGUCCUGAACUCCUGAUGCGAUAAAGAAGUAUCAAGCUGUAUUGCAUGAGUCGCUGAGUUGAUGGAUUUUUUUUCUGAAUCUAACAUUUUCAUCUUCUUCUCUAUCUCACUAUAAUAUAUAUAAUGUGUAUUUAUUAUUGUAACCAGUGUCAUUGUGUAAUAUCCAUAUGUUAUAUUAUUGUGUUUAUCAAUUUGUCGAACAACAACAUUGAUUCAAACAAAAGCAAUUGCGGUAGUCCGCAGCAACGCGCAGCCAUCAUCUAGUGAAAUACCAAAUGAAAUGACUAGAUGCAGUACAAUAUUUGAAAUGAAUUUGGAAUGCAAGCUGUCCAUGCAGUACGAUACAGAACUAAUAAUAACAAAUGGAAUUGCAUUCUAUACAAAUUAAUUAAUAUCAUAUUUUUGUGGAGUAAAAGGAUGUGAUCAACAGUUUUGAGCAUUAGGAGACCUGUAGAUGGAAGAAAUAAAACGUUAGAUGUGGAAAACAGAGGAAAGUUUGACAAGCUUCAACAUGUUCCCUCGCUUUUCUACACGUAUUUGAUAACAUUAUCAUCAGUGCGGAUGUUGUCUCAAAUUACAAGUGCGUACCUGGAAACCACUCGAUCGAGGAGUGUUGGUUUUCUCUUAUAUGACUUCGUCAUUAAUUUCUACGCGAGGGAUGUGUGCUAUCUUGUGCCGGUAUCGUCCUUUGUAUCUCUGUUCGAGUAGAGGACAGCUGCGAAUAUAAAGUUGUGAAAGAGGCAGGCCUUCCUCCACUGGAAGGGUUGUAAGCUUCGGACAGUUCCAGAUCUGAAUCCAUUCAAGAGAGGUGAGGAAUUGAAAGCCCUUGCUCAGUUUCUUUAGAUUUGGGAAGAAUCCAAUACUCAAAUUAACAAGAGAUCUGGGGAGCAGUAUCGCCGUCUCCUUUGAAUUCUCAGCAGCAGGUGGAAAUGACACCAGACUUCCAUCAUCUUCACCGAAUAGACUCAAUUCUCUCAAACAGGCGAGUCUCUGCAACCCUUGAGAUUCCAUCAGCGCCUUACAGUUCUUGAUCUUCCAGAUUGACAGUGAUGUUAGGUUGGUGGGGAAGGAAGUUGUAGUUGUCAAACCUUCAAAGUAAUCAAUACUCACAACUUCAAGAUUACUGGUGUGCAUCAUGUCUCUCGCCAACUGUGCCACCUCCAAUUUAUCGCAAUUUACGAUCCGUAUCUCUCUUGGCCACACAUUCAUUCUCGGCAAUGAAACAAGACUUUGACAAUCCCAAAUAGUUAAUCUCUGAAGAUUGGUGAGGUGGCACAGUCCAUCGGGUAAGGAUUUCAGGUUUGGGCAGUCCCAGAUGUAAAUUAACUCGAGUUGGCAGCUGUCAUCGAGGAACCUCUCAGUUAUUAGCUCCAGCUGUCCACAACUCACUAUCCAAAGCUGUUUAAGAGACCUGGGUAAUUGACCUUUGCAUAAUAAGCCCAUCAAAGAGGGACAAUUCCCUAUAGUCAAACGCUCAAGACAAGAAGAAGAAGAAGAAGAACCGUUACCCACCUCCUCCUCUUUCUCUAUUAAUGACUUCAAUUUCCCACAAUUCUUAAUCUCUAUUCUUUUUAGGCUGAGAUGAAUCUGGUAUUUUGCGAAGUGUGAAAGAGAUUCGCAGUCCUUAAUCACUAUGACUUGAAGACAAAGUGGCAGACCAACAUCCGGAAAAGAAACAAGACUUGAACAUUCACUUAUGUGCAGCUCUUGAAGUGAUCUAAGGUGAUGAUAUCCUUCAGGCACCAUUCCACACUUGCUUAAUUCCAGACGUUCAAUAUUGCAAUCCAGGAUUUGCAAUUGCACCAACUGCUCUGCUUCUUUCCCCAGCUUUUCAACAAGGAUCGAGUUGUCUUCGAUGUACAGACGACCAAGAGAAAUCAAGUGUUGCAGUAAUCUAUCCUCAUUUUGAAAGCAACAUGUAAGCUCCUCACAACCAGUGAUCUUCAACUCUUUAACAUUUUUCAAGCUUUUCAUGAACGCCUCUGUUUGGAAUCUCAAUUCUGAUACAUUUGAAAAUGUCAAACUCUCUAGUAAGUCAAACUGAACUGUACUUGUGUCGUACACCACCCUCUUGCAAUUUUUGAUGUAUGAUCCAUGAAGCUGUUUAUAUUUGGAUACUGAAACCACCAAUUCCUCACAUCCAUAUAUCUCAAGCUGUGCUAAUGAAUCGAGCUUCUCUGGUAAAUCACCCUCCAAUUUGGGGCAGCCCCUGAUGGAAAGCUUUUUCAGGCAAGAUAAAGCUUCAACACCCUCACCUUGUUGGCAAGGAUACCACUUCUUCCAAUUUUUCAGAUUAUGUAACUCCAGGGUCUCUAAAACAUGAAACGACAAGUCACCUUCUCCAUAAAACUCAACACCAACACUCUCCACUGCAUCCAUUUCUUGUAUACAAAGUUCUUUGAGACAAGGUAACUGUCCGAAUGGUGGCCAGAAUUGACAAUGAUUACAACCUUCUAACUUUACCCGCACCAUUUUAGUGAAUGAAGGAUUCCCAAUCCAUGUUGAAAAUCUCAAUCCAGCAUAACCUUUGAUGGUGAGCUUUUUGAGCUUGCUAUGAGGUUGUAACAUGUCAAGCACAAUUGCUGCAUCUUCUGUUGAGACACUCGAAGAAGACCAUUCAAGAAAUAGGGCUUCAAGCCUUUCCUUGCUCUUUAAGUUGGCACUCCUGGCAUCCUCGACACAAAUCACAUUUUCUAGUCUUGAGAUGUGCAAUGUCCCUUGCAGAUGCAAUAAUGACUCAAUCUCUCUUACUCCUGAUCCACUACCUUUGCCAAUAACAAACUCAGGCAAUGUUUGGAGGUUAGUCAAUUGACCAAGCUCAGGAGGCAUUUCUUCCAAUGAAUUUGUACCUGAAUUGUUGAGAUGACGCAAAUUAACUAGGUUCCUCAUGCUUGUGGGCAGUGCCUUCAGCAUAGAACAACUUUUCAAUAACAAUGUCUGCAAGUUGUACAGAGUUGUUGUCGAGUCUGGCAAACUUCUUAUCCAAGUGUGGGAGAGAUCAAGAUACCGUAGAUGCUUCAGUUCACCAAUUGUAUUUGGCAACUCGCGUAUUUGGUAUCCAUUUAAAGAGAGCAAUCGUAAGUAUUGAAGUUUGGGCAAUAAGUCAGAAGAAACCUUAUGAGCCAAAUGGUUAUAAUUUGAAAGUGAAAGUGGUAAGAACGUCCGCAAACAUGUAGCUUCAGAAUAGACCUCAAACUUCUUAACCCCGUCACACCAACCAGGAAUGUAAGAUGAAUGACGAACCUUGGGCAAACAUCUAUGUUGCGAGUCAUAAUUCUGCAUAUCCUCCAAUCUAGAACAUGAGCUUCCUGCAGCCCAACGUGCCAAAUCAGUAACCAGGUCAUGCAUUAUGUAUUUCGACUCUGUUUUGCUUGAUUUUUGAAAUAAUGACCUGGACACCAACUCUUGAAAAUUGUCACGUCCCAAAUCUUCCAUUUGUUUGUUUUCUUCUGGUUGCUGCUGAAUCAAGCCCUCAGCCAUCCAAUAAAAGACCAAUUGCAUCUCCUCAAAUUCAUAAUCAUUCGGAAGUAUUGCACAGUAGGAGAAACACCGUUUCAAAGUCGAAGGGAGAUAAUGAUAGCUCAGUUUUAAUGCNNNNNNNNNNNNNNNNNNNNNNNNNNNNNNNNNNNNNNNNNNNNNNNNNNNNNNNNNNNNNNNNNNNNNNNNNNNNNNNNNNNNNNNNNNNNNNNNNNNNNNNNNNNNNNNNNNNNNNNNNNNNNNNNNNNNNNNNNNNNNNNNNNNNNNNNNNNNNNNNNNNNNNNNNNNNNNNNNNNNNNNNNNNNNNNNNNNNNNNNNNNNNNNNNNNNNNNNNNNNNNNNNNNNNNNNNNNNNNNNNNNNNNNNNNNNNNNNNNNNNNNNNNNNAUCUUCCAACAAUCAUCUCCUGACAUCGACUCCAAGUUAUGAGGUUUAUUGUCUCCCAUCAUCUUUGCAACAUUCGCAUCACGCGUCGUCACAAUGAUCUUGCUUCCUACUGCUCCAACACGAAAAGCCGACUGCAAUUUUGUCCAUUGAUCGUAGUUGCAUGUAUUCCAGACAUCAUCUAGAACAAUCAAAAACUUCUUGCCAGCCAAUUCCUCACUCAACUUUACCAAAACCGAAUUGAGCUCUUUAGAUUCCUUCACAGAACCUGAGGUGACAGAUUCAAGAACUGCAGUUGUCACCCUUAGAAGGUCGAAGUCAUCGGACACAGACACCCAUCCCUUUGGGCGAAAUUGUUCAGUUGCAGCAUCGUUGAAGACAUCUUUAGCAAGUGUUGUCUUUCCUAGUCCACCCGUACCAACAAUGGAAACCACACGAAAGUUAUGAAAAUUGCUGGUACUAUGUUCGCUUUCUAAGAGCACAUCAUUAAGAAUCUUAGUCUUUGCUUCAUCCCUUCCGAUCACAGGUCCAUCUAGCAGUUGAGAUGUAGUACUGGGUGGCAUUUUCCAUGGCUUUUUAGACACUCCAAGUUCCUUCAAACCAAAAUGCUUCUGUCGAGUGGUUAUCUGCUCAAGUCGAUCACUUAACUUCUUGAUUGCUGAGUUCAGACCAAAAUUGGACUUAACUUUAGAGAGUGAGCUCCAUAUCUUGCUUUUGCUUCCUUGUUGUCUUUCUAUCUUCCGCUUCAGCAUUUUAGUAUCAAAUAUGUCCAAUACAUCUUGAACAUCGUAAGCCAAAUCUCUGAGAUCAUCCAGCCACUCUUUUACUGCUCCUUGUGUUAGUUGCUUCUCCUCAGCAUCACUCAGCACCGCUUCAAUGGCCUUCAACGUACUAGUCCAUUUCUCCAGCACCUUUUUGUCGACCAUAAGGCGUCCGAAGUACUCAGUGAUCUCUUGAUCCGCCAACUUCUCAAGCAGCACCUGGAGGAAUGCACCAAGAACAGCCUCCCCCAUUGUUUCUUUUUUGAAUAAUCGAUGGUAUUGAAAACUGCAGAAAGUGAAGCUAGUAGUUAAUUAAGGUACAAUUCUAGGUGAUGCAUGCGUGCUAGAAAAUAAUUUAAACAAUGAAAUGGGUGAUUAAAUUUGAUUUGUUUCCCUUAAUUUGCAAGAUCGGAAAACAUGCACUUACAUGAAAAGUUGAUUAUUUCUUCUGUGAGAUGACAACUAAAACACUUGCAACGUUAAUUCUUCCACAAGGUGAGCCAAGUCUCUGAGAUCAUGAUCAUGACAGACUUUCUUGUUGCAGAUCGAUCUGAUUCCAGCUAUACUGCACAAAUUAGUAAGUGGAGCCAGUUUAAUUAGUUCAUAAUGAUAAUCCAACAUGAAUAUAACUGAUUAACAGAAUGAAAUUAGUAACGGAUUCAAGAAGAGCUUACAUGGAUCAAAGGAUAUCUGAAUCCAAAAUCAAGAAGCCCUUUCUUCUUUAGAUGAAUAAUGCAUACAGUGCAGUGUGUAUAGAUCAAGUAUGAAUGGAUAGAAGCUCCUCCGGCAAAAAGUCUAGAUAUGAAAACCACUCGCACUUUCCUAAAAGUCGAUGAAACAAAGGUGAGCCACUCAACACCCAUGAGGUUUGGUCCAGUUGGUAGCAGGCUGGUCCUGCAUGUUGGGCGAACGCUGCUGUGAUACUCCUGGUAGUAAGGAGGUCACAGGUUCGAUCAUCCGCAUGUGAAAAACAUCUUAUGGGGAGGGGUCUUACCUAAGUGCUCUCGGCCCCGGAGUGGUAGUCCCACCCGACCACCAUUUUUGUAACCAAAAAAAAAAAAGGUGAGCCACUCAACAGGAAUGACGGGAAAAGGCGAUGGAACACAAAGGUGCCUGUUUACACCGAAAAGGCGAUGGUAAAAGUGUGUGUUCUACUGUAACUGUUGACACUUACUGUAUGUGUGCAUCUAAUGUUUUCAUCUGUUAAACUGGGGACGGCUAUGUUUAGUGAGACUAAUAUUGCUUAGUAAAUGAUUUUUGGAAGGUGUUCCAAUUGAUCAACGAAGAUGCGUUUUUGGCAACAAAAUGUACUAGAUGAAGUGCCCGCGGCUUGCCGCGGUAUUUAGCUCUUUGUAUCUACUCGAAAGAUUGAUGUUUCUCCUCAUCACUUCACUGUGAACGCUGAUAUACAUAAUAUAGCAAAUGAUCGUCUCAGGUUAAGGAAUUGAGUCAGGUUAAGGAAUGAAGCAACAGAUUCGGAAAGCAAAUGUAAAGAAAGAUUCAAACCCAUAACAUAAAGAAAGAUUCAAAUUACUCAGUUUCAAAUUUUCAAUAUUAUGUUUACAAUUACACCCAUAAUUGUUCAUAGCCCUCUGUCUUAUCAUCUCCAUCAUAGCAGCACCUCAACUUGAUUAAGAUUUUGUUGCAGCCUCCUCAAAUGUUCUUCUGCACAUACCUAUGAGAGAACAUGUAGGCAGCAUUAGAAUUUGUUAUAUAAUCCUUGAAAAGGGAGGAGAGAUUCGCAAGAAAAAGUAACUUUCUCAUUAAAAAUAACUUCAUAUUUAAUUAGUUGUACGUGCAAAAAUCCAAGUUCCACAGUUCUAGACAUGAUAAAAGUGUAAUGUAACCUCUUGGUCCUUCAUUAGUUCACAGUUCUCAAACUCGAAUCAAAUAUUACAUUAUUCGAAUCCUCCAUUAGUUAGAACCAAUUGACUUUCAAAUCUAAAUCAUAAUCUAAUUGAAACAGAACAUACUGCAGACAAAAGCUUAGAUAAUAUGAUUCAAUAAUUGUAGUUAAGAUCUCCUUUUAAUUUCUUCUGCUUAUCUUAGUGUGAGUAUUUUUCUUGCAGAACUUCUUUUUGGCCUAAAGAAAAUUGCUUAUUAACUUGAAAUGCACUAAAAGAACACUGGAAUAAAAGUCAAAAAGGUCCUUACAGAUAUUACUGUGAGCAGCUUCAAUUAAAUAGCACAUGAUGUCUAGCUAUCUUCCCAGCGAUCUGCAGGCGUGAUAUAAUUACGUUGUUCAAAUUAGACUAAAUCAUUAUUCAAACUCCAUAGUAAUAACUCAAAACAUGAAAAAUAGCACUAAAACCAUGUAAUUAUAACAUGACCGUUUUAUUUUCGUUCUGAAGUGAUGGCGACUUCAUCAUUUGUUAAAGCUCCCUGCAUAUUCUUCAAAACAUCAAAAUAAGAAUGAAGUGGGCAAUAAUAGAAAGUAUUAAACUUAAGAGCAACAAAGUAGAUACAUUAAAGGACACAACAUAGAUGUUCGUCUGUCACUGAUAUAAUGGUUGAAUAUUUAGCAUGGUCUAUUCCCUCAACCCAGUUGAGAGGCAUAUAUAAUAGACAUCAAGGCAAUAAGCAAUCAUAUCUAUCAUACAGAAAAUUAGAAAAUUUCUAGCUGAUAUAUAGUGCAGAAAACCAGGGCAUUAAGAAAUAGGAGAUAAAAAAUUCAACCAGCAGAAUUAACUGGCACCAUAACAUAGGAUUGUAGACAGUGUCAAAAAAUCAUAUUCUCGGUAACUUCUGGGAAUGUCAACAAUCUUCAACAAAGAAUUGUUAGUGUUGAAGCAUGAGAUACUGCCAAACAUGUGAAGCUAUAUUUGACAUUGAGACAAUAAACUAUAACAAAGUAGACAAAUUUUGUAACACCAAGAGCUUCAGUCCUUAUGUGUCAUUAGUAGAUUUCAGUGCAACUGCAACGAAGACGGCAUACAAAAAUAAAAUUUUGCUUAAAUGAGAGAAGGGCACUUCAGGUACUGCAUCCAAGAGUAAGGAUCUCAGAUAAUCAUACAUCAUCUAAUGCCUUACCCUUGACUUUUCAGGAUAUAUCAAGAACACAUCCAUCUAAUACAAUCAAGUAUGAAUGCUAAAGGGGCACUAAGCUUUAAGUGCUGACCUGAAAUUUUUGAAAAUGAUCGGCAAGCUUUUGGAGCAAAGAAAUCAAUCCAAAACAAACCUGGAUCCAAAAGUUCCUGCACCCCUGCUUAAAAAUUAAAAAAAAAAAAAAAAAAGCAAACACAUCGUAGAAUCCAUUAUAAAGAAUACACCAUAAAAACUAUCUCUACCUAAUCAAAAUACCUCCAAAACAACGACUUAAACCCGAAUAAACUACCAAUAAACAAAUCUCAAAUAGCAGAAACACACCAAGGACAGUAAAAAGAUGUAUCCCUGAAUGAAAUCAAAUCAAAUCAGCAACAGAUACCUUAACUUACAAGAAAAAAAAAAAAAAAAAGUUACUUUAAACUGAUAUCUGCAUAUCCAAAAGUUCAUGUCUCAACCAUCUUUGAACAACCUGCAACAAAAACUAAUCACAAUUACUACAUGGUAGUAAUAACAAUAUAGAGGAAAUUGCUAGAUUAAUCUGAACGGACAUAUACGGUUAAAGAAAUUACCACCAAACAGAAAAGAGAAUCAAAACCAAACAACCCACAAUUAUUAUCCAAAAGGACAUCCGAAAUAUUCAUCAACUGUUCAUGAACAAUGUAGAUCCUCUGAAAAGAGGAAUUUGUACGGCAGUCAUGGGCUCUUGGAGGAUAUCCAUUUCCAUCUACCUCUGAAAGAACAUACGGCCAGAGACCAGCAAAUAUCAAGGCCCAACCCCAAAGGCCCAACACCAAGGGUAUCACUGUUUGCAUUCCGAACAGUAAGGCGACGCCAGGCCGCAUAAUAUUUAGUUAAAUUUGGACCACCGUUUUUUGGUGAAUUUGAAUAAUUAUUCGAAAAUUUGGCGUACAAAUUUGACGCUCUACAAUAUAUGCAGGUUGAGCACAGGGCUCAAAAACAGGCACAACAUUGGAAUGCCACCUCUAUGGAGAGCCAAGAGAGUUUUACAUAUACAUUUGUACCUAAAUGAGAGCUGGAGAUUGGUUGCAUAACCAACUAGCACAUGUAGCAGACAAACAAGAAGUUUCUCAUACAUACGUUGAAGAUAGAUAAGCCCUGACAGGAAAGGAUCAUUCACCAUGGUAAAGUAAAACAUCUGAACCAAAAGAGAAAAGUUCGACAAAAUCAGAACAAGUUAUACUUGAUAUGAUAGCAAAGAAGCGACUUGUGUUCAAUGCAAAGCUACAAUUGAAAUGAGCAUGGAAACAUGGAAAGAAAACAGUAGAAAGGGCCAUUUAGUGAAGGGAUUGGAGAUGUACCAGCAUCACUUGUUUUGUUUAGUAACGGUCCUUUGAACAGUUGAAACUCCAUCCACAAACUUUGUCCGGAAAAGGACAUUAGCAUUAUUGAACAUGCCUUCUUUCAGUGAAACCACAAUGAACGGAAAAAAAUGUGAUAAACAAGAAAAAUGGGUAAGUAGAUGUCGCAUAUUGUCUUUAUAAGUUAUGUCGCAAUAUGCUCUUUUGUAGAAUGAGGUUUGAAUUACAAACUCCAGAAUACCAGACUCUACAAACAGCCAAGGGACGAUGAUCAGUCAAAGAGCAGUGGAUAUGCCGAAUCACAACUAUGCCUAAAACGUUUUCUGAACUUUUUGAGAUUUGUACUUUCGAAGAAAUCAGAUAGUAUUACUUAUUUACUUGCACAAUGACGGAAAAGAAGUUGCAUCUUAGCUAAACCUAACUUUAUGGAUUAAUGGAGGAGAAGAUGGUACAUGUCAGAAGAAGAUCCAGCUAGGUAAAAUGUAGCUAGUGACAAGAAUUGCAGCUAGUAAUACUGAAAGGAGGAAGUCUCAAUGGGUUGUGAAGGUUGACAAAUGCACAGGUGAAGAGCAUGUUUUCAGGAUCAGGUUUCCACAAGGGAAAGGGAUUCAAGCAUAGGCUUAGUUUGAGUACUUGGUUCUGUCUUGGAGAAGACUUGAUUUUGCUUUCUGAUCAUAAGAAAUUUAUAGUAUUAGAUAUAAGUAGUAGUUUAUGGAUCUUAUGAUUCAGAUCAUGGAACUUAAUUGAAGUGUAUAUAGCAACUGAAAUGUAUAUGUAGUGGCUAAUAGUACUAUAUAUGAAGUUUAUCUUUGAUUGAAUUUGGUUUCAGAAUUGCCUAUAGAACAUGCGUCAGAAAUGAACUAAAAUGUAGAUAUUAGCUGAAGCUUGGUUUUGGAGGGAAUUAGUUCCGAGUUACCAUACAAGUAUAUACACAUACUCGUAGUAGAGUGGAGCUUCGAAAAGAGGAAGAACUGGUUACUGCUCACUUGUUUCUUCCAUCAAGACACAAAUUGUUGAAAUGAAUUUAGCUUUAUUCAUCAUUAACAACCAAGUCAUUAAUAAAAGUAAAGAGAGUUCGAAGAGACCGAUUUAAUCAACAAGGAAAAGAUCGAAACUAGUUUCUCAGAAAAAACAUGCAUGAAACUAUUAAAUGUACACAUCCCGAAACAACCUAAAUAGUAACAGCUGACGAAUUUUAUUACAAACCACAUGUCGAUCAAAUCCCAAUUAUGGUAUCGAUAGCACUAGUUAGGAUGAACAUAUUAUUGGAUAUUUGGCUACACCCAAGUUUGGCCACUCCGAAAGUUCCUUGAGUGUAGCAACAAUGAAUUUAGAUUCGUUGAGAUGCUAAAACAGACAUAGUCAUCCCCCAAUUUUCCAAAAUAGGACUUGAUCCACUGAACCUUAAACAUUACUACCGAUGAUCCGAUACCUCCCAUCCCAAAUAAUCAAAAACCAAAACCAAAACAAUGUGUACAAAACAAAAAUGCCUGCAAGCAGAAAGAGAGGGGAUGAAAAGAUGAAGGUGAGAGCAAGAGAUUGGCUCGUCAUAUGUCAUGUACAGUCAUGCAUUCGAUUUGAAGGUAAUUGGUGUGUGAGGAGAUAGGUUCAUCUUGAAAUGCAGCACAAAAUUUGUGACAAACUUUGACUAGGCCAGAUGCAUAUAUAUUCCAUUGCAGCAUACAAAUACAUAAGCUAAUCUCCCAAAUAUCCACUUCCCAUGUUUAGCCUUCGGAAUUUCCAAAUGCUUUCUCUAUCAAUGGAUAAUCCGCAAACAAAUCCUAGCCUGCAUAAUUGAAAUACAAAUAAUUAUGAGUUUUUAACUAAACAAUGUGGCUUGGAACAUAAAAAUAUAACUGUAACCUAAUGCAGCCUAGCUCUCUUAUUAGGCUUAGGGUUUUGGUGGCUGGCGCCCACAUCUACGGCUGGCAUUGGGUAUCGGCAGAUGGGACAGUAGUGAUUCAUCUCCAACCAACAAACAAUGCGCUCUUCAUGAAAACAUGGCAUGCGAGUGAUCAUGAUCCCACAACGUCGUUUAAGAUCAGGAUCAAACACCCACUCUUCUUCUUCUGUUGCAUCAUCAUCAACAGCAAGGCUCUCCAUACAAAUUAAUUCAUAGUCGUAAGUUCUUGAUUCUAGAUAUAGUAUUUGAUUAUGUUUGCUGUAAUUCUCUAUAGGAGGAAUCUGUGUUUUUGAGAAAGUGUGGUAAGUUGCGAGCCAGAAGGUAACUAAAGAGGAAUGCAUUGCUAGUUAUAUCCAGGUAUAUUUUCUUAAGCUUGAUCCUACAGUGGGUGUUGUUUUCAUAGGAUUGACUGUGGUUACUUACCGUACUGUACCCNNNNNNNNNNNNNNNNNNNNNNNNNNNNNNNNNNNNNNNNNNNNNNNNNNNNNNNNNNNNNNNNNNNNNNNNNNNNNNNNNNNNNNNNNNNNNNNNNNNNNNNNNNNNNNNNNNNNNNNNNNNNNNNNNNNNNNNNNNNNNNNNNNNNNNNNNNNNNNNNNNNNNNNNNNNNNNNNNNNNNNNNNNNNNNNNNNNNNNNNNNNNNNNNNNNNNNNNNNNNNNNNNNNNNNNNNNNNNNNNNNNNNNCAUUCCAAUACGAGUUAAUUCCCAUGCUAGCCUUGCAGGCAUUUAUCAAUGCAUGGGCAACUUUAGUAUCUUUGGGUUGCAUGUUUCUAGAGAGGCUAUUACGUAGGUUCCUCACAUUUUCUUCGAAGCCCUGAAAUGAAAUACAUGUAAGCUGAGAAAAGCCAGUAAAUGGAAUUACACAAAAAAAGUCUGCCAAGACACAGCACAUUACCUCAGCUUGAUAGAUCAAAAUAAUGUCACGAAUACCAAUCUUCAUAUCAACCAUCACGUGGAGGGGAAUAUCCUCAUUAAUCUGCUCCUCACCAAACGACAAUAAUGAUUAAACCAAUUGAAAGUUACAUUAGACCAAAGUACAUAUAUUUUAAUACCAAAAAAAAAACCAUUGUGGGGUACAGUACGGUAAGUAACACAGUCAAUCCUAUGAAAACAACACCCACUGUAGGAUCAAGCUUAAGAAAAUAUACCUGGAUAUAACUAGCAAUGCAUUCCUCUUUAGUUACCUUCUGGCUCGGCAACUUACCACACUUUUUCAAAAACACAGAUUCCUCCUAUAGAGAAUUACAACAAACAUAAUCAAAUACUAUAUCUAGAAUCAAGAACUUAAGAAUGAAUUAAUUUCAAAAAACUUACUGAAAAAAUUCACAGCAGCAGAAAAUAACAAAAGAAGACAAGCCAGACCUGGAACCACUACAUACACGAUAUUAGAAUCGAAUUUGAAAACCCGAGGUUUCAACUAACCACCUCCUGCUCAGAUUUCUUUAUAUACAAAGACUUUAAAACAUGCUCAGAGCAAGAAAAACAUCAUAUCAGAUUAAAAAGGUGGUACUAUCGAAAAAUUCAAAACCCAAAUUUCAACUAGCCACCUCCUCGUCAAACUACUUCAAUACAACUACUCCUUAAGCAGGAUUAGAGCAAGACAAACACCAGUUUAGAAUCACAACAAGAUCGGAUCAAAAAUCAAAACCCUAAAUCUAAAAAUCAUCACUCCUUGCACAUGACCAAUAGCAUUGCAAGUGUAUUAACCAAAAGAAAACAUAGUUUACAGAUCGGAAAUCCAAAAACAAAAAAAAAUACAUCGCCAAGGAGAUGUGGUAAACAUUUAAAUUUAAGAAAGCAAACCUUAAUAUGUUCAGAAAUGUAAUUAUCUCCAUGUUUUCCAACAUCCUUGUGACGCUUCAGGAUGGACACCUCCUAGGGAGGAUAACAGCAACACAGUCAAUCAUAAUGUAAAAUCACAAACAUUCAAAUAUUAUGGUCAGAUUGGAAUAACUUAAACCAGGAAAAAAGGAUAAGAAAAUUAACCUCAACAUGUGCAGGGCACUCCUCUUUCGAAACCUUCGGGUUCGGUACUUUCUUAUCCAGAUCAUUCAUGAGCGCAGACUCCUAACGGAGUACAGAGUCAAAUCCUAUAUCUUAAAUCAACAACUUAAAAAUCCAACACCAUUUGGAAUCAAAUUGGAAAACCCUAGUUUCAACUAGUGACCUCCUCGUCAAAUUCCUUGAAAUACAAAGACUCUUAACACUGGAUCAGAGCAAGAAAACAUGAUAUAAGAAUCAAAAUGUGGUGGAAUCGAAAAAUCAAAACCGUAAUUUCAAUUUCGACUAGCCACCACCUGGUCAAAUUGGUUGUUGUAUAAAGACUCUAAAAAAGGAUCAGAGCAAGAAAAACAUCUUAUCAGAUUCAAAAAUGUGGGGGAAUUUCAACUAGCCACCUCCUGUCAAGUUUCUUGACAUACAUAGACUUCUCAAGCAAGAUUAGAUCAACAUGUAAGUAAUCAACUCAAAUUUCUUAACAGAUAAAGACUCCUGACACAGUAUUCAGCUAAAGAAAAUAUACCUUGAUAUAUUUCAAAACCCUAAUUUCAACUAACCACCUCCUCACCAAAUUUCUUGAUAUACAAAAACUGUAAAACAGGAUCAGAGCAAGAAAAACAUCACAUCAGAAUCAACAGAAUCAAAAUGUGGUGGAAUCAACAAUAGAAAACCCUAAGUUCAACUAGCCACCUCCUGGUCAAGUUUCUUGAAGGCUUGUUAAGCAAGAUUAGACUUCCUAAGCAAGAUUAGAGCAAGACAAACACAUAGGAUCACAACGUGUAGGAAACAAAAAUCAAAACCCUGAGUUCAAGAAAUCAUCAAUCGCAUUAACCAAAACAAAACAUUAUACCGAUCAAAUUCCAGAAACUAACCAUCGCAGUGAGGAAGACGAAGCAAAUGACGAAGAAGAACAAGCAAAUGACGACGACGAAGAAGCAAAUGGAGACGAAGGCGAACUCUGUAACCGAUUUAGCGUAAUCUUUUUUUUUUUUUUGUCUUUUAGCAAAUAUUAGCGUAAUUUUGUUGCGGUUUAAUAUUUAUACGAGGCGAGUUCACCCGACCCGUCUCUGUUUAAUCCGUAUACCCGAUCCGGCCCGAUACUAUUUAACCCGACCCGACUACCGACCCCCGGAAAAUAUAAUUUAUAAUUUUAUAUGAACAUAAAAUAAAAGGUUUUCCGAGAAAUUAAAAAUUAAAAUUAAAAUCUUACACCAAGGAUGGGAUGUAUGCAGAAGCCGCUCCGCCCUUGCCAAUGAUAAAGCUCCACCCUUUACCGAUGAGAAAAUAUCCGCCCUUUGCGGCUUUGCCGAUGAGAAAGAGCCUCCCUUUGCGGAUGAGAAAGCUCCGCCCUUUGCCGAUGACGGCGUCACGGCCAGAGGAGGAGGGCCAUCAUCGGAAAGAGGAGCAAAGUAUCGAUGCCGAUGCAUGAUAACCGAGAUCUAUCUCUACCCGGAUGGGAGAUGCAGAAAUGAAAAGGGGAACGAACGGCAAAGGUGUGGAUUUAGAUAUUAGGUUUUGGAUGGGAGCGUAAUUACUCUAUUGUCCUUUUAUUUAUACGUGGCUCUGUCUAAGUGGCUGCGAACCUUAUAGGCCUUGGCUAUUUACCUUCGAAGCGAGAAAUUUUUCUACGCUCCGGGAGAACCACUUAGUUAUGCCUAAUGGUCCUCCGCUUUUAUAGUAAAUUGCCACGUGGCUAUUUUGACAAGUCACUUAACACUUAAACAAUCAAGUAAACGUCAAAACUGUCGUUAAGGUUGUCGUUAUAUAUCAACUAGCCUCUUACCAGUGCAGAUGCACGGGGAUCAAAAAAUGGAAGAAAGUGUACUUGAACUGCUCCAUUUUAUGUGGGAUGAAUCUAUUAAUCCUAUCUUUUUGUAGAUAACUGCUCCCCAAAAGGUGGGAUAAAACUACCAUAUAUUUUUUUCUCUCCUUAUUUAUAGUGUUUUACGGUUACACCCAUAAUAACUAUUAUUUUUAUUGUUUGAGAAUUUUCUGCUACCUUGGUUUUUUAGUCAAUUGAAAAAAAGGUUUCACUAAAGACACCAAAGCCACGCCUGACUUUCUAAUAGUAAAGAUAUGUAAUUAUGUAUUCAUCAUUUCAUCCAUAAUCAAUAGAUCGAAAAGAAAUUUUGCAGCAAUUG
This 18987-nucleotide long non-coding RNA is filed under the name Fragaria vesca (wild strawberry). RNAcentral describes it as "long non-coding RNA (FVES_LNC003949)". Lineage: Eukaryota; Viridiplantae; Streptophyta; Magnoliopsida; Rosales; Rosaceae. The record is from RNAcentral.